CGGCUAGCGGCGGGACGACGCGGCUGACGUCCAGAUCUGGGUACAAGGCAUGGACGACAUCCCGACCGUCCUCGAACCCUACCCGGUACGAGGCGAAGCCCGACUCGAGCAUCUCCUCCCGAUAUCGGUCGGAGGCCCAGAAGUCUUCCACCGCCCGAUCGGCCGACUCUUUCGCCGACCUUGCCUCGUCCUCCGCACGGGCGAGCGACUCCCUUGCCGACUCCGCCUCAACCUUUGCC
RNAcentral lists this long non-coding RNA (239 nucleotides) under Elaeis guineensis (African oil palm). Its description in RNAcentral is "long non-coding RNA (EGUI_LNC004408)". Lineage: Eukaryota; Viridiplantae; Streptophyta; Magnoliopsida; Arecales; Arecaceae. The record is from RNAcentral.